CAGUCGCCACGGUAAUACGUAGGUGGCAAGCGUUGUCCGGAAUUAUUGGGCGUAAAGCGCGCGCAGGUGGUUUAAUAAGUCUGAUGUGAAAGCCCACGGCUCAACCGUGGAGGGUCAUUGGAAACUGUUAGACUUGAGUGCAGGAGAGAAAAGUGGAAUUCCUAGUGUAGCGGUGAAAUGCGUAGAGAUUAGGAGGAACACCAGUGGCGAAGGCGGCUUUUUGGCCUGUAACUGACACUGAGGCGCGAAAGCGUGGGGAGCAAACAGGAUUAGAGACCCCGGUAGUCCCUGUCUCUUAUAC
This 301-nucleotide ribosomal RNA is filed under the name uncultured bacterium. RNAcentral describes it as "partial 16S ribosomal RNA". It matches the Rfam family "Bacterial small subunit ribosomal RNA", at positions 509 to 807 of the family's 1533-position model. The record is from RNAcentral.